UGACAGAGUGGCUUAUUGUAUCUCUUUGCUAAAGAGAAGUCGUUUAAAAGCGACCACAGGUUCGAAUCCUCCCAACGGCACCA
This 83-nucleotide transfer RNA is filed under the name Caudoviricetes sp. RNAcentral describes it as "tRNA-Ser". The record is from RNAcentral. Lineage: Duplodnaviria; Heunggongvirae; Uroviricota; Caudoviricetes.